RNAcentral lists this ribosomal RNA (396 nucleotides) under uncultured bacterium. RNAcentral describes it as "bacterial SSU rRNA". It matches the Rfam family "Bacterial small subunit ribosomal RNA", at positions 30 to 426 of the family's 1533-position model. The record is from RNAcentral.
AUUGAACGCUGGCGGCAGGCCUAACACAUGCAAGUCGAGCGGAUGAGUGGAGCUUGCUCCAUGAUUCAGCGGCGGACGGGUGAGUAAUGCCUAGGAAUCUGCCUGGUAGUGGGGGACAACGUUUCGAAAGGAACGCUAAUACCGCAUACGUCCUACGGGAGAAAGCAGGGGACCUUCGGGCCUUGCGCUAUCAGAUGAGCCUAGGUCGGAUUAGCUAGUAGGUGAGGUAAUGGCUCACCUAGGCGACGAUCCGUAACUGGUCUGAGAGGAUGAUCAGUCACACUGGAACUGAGACACGGUCCAGACUCCUACGGAGGCAGCAGUGGGGAAUUUUGGACAAUGGGCGCAAGCCUGAUCCAGCAAUGCCGCGUGCAGGAUGAAGGCUGGUGUAGCUGC